RNAcentral lists this long non-coding RNA (6770 nucleotides) under Theobroma cacao (cacao). RNAcentral's name for it is "long non-coding RNA (TCAC_LNC006309)". The record is from RNAcentral. Lineage: Eukaryota; Viridiplantae; Streptophyta; Magnoliopsida; Malvales; Malvaceae.
UUUUCUUCAUUAUGGCCGGCCAAAGCAUGAAGUGAAGAAGAACAAAGAAAGAACAAAACCUAGGUGGGAAAAUUGAAGAAAAAGUGUGGGAUUUCAAGGUAUUAAGCUAAUAAAGGUAAAUUUUUGUGAUUUUAUCUUGUGGUUUACACUACCUAUGCUUUCUUUUUCAUUUUCCAUGCUUAGAACUCAAGUUUUCAUGGUGAAUUCAUGCCUGACCAAAUGGGUAUGGAGAGAGAACGAAGUUGGAUUGAUUUGAUUCUAAGUUAUGUUAGUGUUUUUAGUUAGUUUAGCAUAUUUAGAAACAAAACAACAAGAAAAAAAAUUCAUUUUCUCCCAUUACCCAUAAGAGGCCGAAUUUUCUAGGGAGGAUAUUGAGGCUGAAAUUGAUGAUAUUUCAUGAUAUUUUGGUGAUAUUUAAUGAUUGGUGAGGCUAGAAAUUUAAUAGAAAAUUUUGGCAUGAAAAUCUGAAUUUUGACCUAAUGUAUAGACAUGUGCGAUUUAUCAUUCAGACUGAUAAAUUGAAUCAAAUUGUGAGACCUUGUCAAGCUCGAUUAAAAGACAAUAUUGUACUGAGUGGUACAACUAAGUUAAAUUGAACCUUCAACUAGUUCAAAUAGGAAUUCUAAGAGGAAAUUGAAAAUUUUGAAACCCACAGAAUAGCUUAGAAUAGUGAUUCGGAGUUCAAGGUUCAGUUUCGAGUCCAUCAGGAAAAUUGAUCGAUUAGGGACAAAACGGUUAUUUUAGCAUUUGAUAAUAAAAUGGAGAUUUUUAGCCAAGAUUUUAUCACAUUUGACCAAGAAUAAUUAUAUGAAAUAUAAUUAUGAUUAUUGGAGUAUAAAAUGAUGUUUAGUAGUGAAAAAUUAUGAUUCUCGGUAUUUUUGGAGCACAAGGGUAAAAUGGUAAUUUUGUCACUAAAGGACUAAACGAUAAUUUUUAUAAAAUGAUUUUUGCCCCAUUUAGUUAAUAUUGAUCAAUAUUAGUGUUAUUUGAGGUUGAAAAGUAGAAAUAAUGUGAUUCCGGUACAUUUCGAAGUAUAGGGGCAAAAUCGUAAUUUUUUCAUCUCGGGGGCAAAUCGGUAAAUUUUUCGUCCCAACACUUGUCAAGACCAAGGGAUUUUAAUUGUGGUAGGAUUGGAUAAAUACCAGAAUAUUUGUGGUGGAAAAUUAAGAAGAAAAAGUUAAAAAGUUAAAAAAAUUGGGCCAAUAAGCAUGUGACACGUGGCAUGCUUAAUUAUUUUAUUAUUUUCUAUAGAAAUCAGCCCAUUAAAUCCCCAAUUCUCUCACCAUAAUCAGCCUAGGCAACCAGCAACAAGAGCAAAGGAAGAACAAAGGGAAAAACAANGAAGAGGGGAAAGCUCAAUCCAAGAUACAUUGGACCCUUUCGUAUCAUUGAAAUGAUUGGGCCAGUGGCUUACAGACUUGAAUUACCCCUGGAGUUAGAUCGGAUUCAUAAUGUCUUCCAUGUCUCAAUGUUGAAAAAGUAUGUUUCUGAUCCCUCUCACAUUCUAGAGACACCUCCCAUUGAGUUGCAUGAAGAUUUGAAGUUCGAGGUGCAGCCUGUACGUAUUCUAGAUCGAAAGGAUCGAGUGCUAAGGAACAAGAGUAUUCCAAUGGUGAAAGUAUUGUGGAAAAAUGCUCGAAUGGAAGAGAUGACGUGGGAAGUCGAGCGCUAGAUGAGAAAACAAUAUCCACAUCUUUUCUUAGAAUCCGGUAAGUGAAAUUUUGAGGUCAAAAUUUUAUUUUUAAGGGGGGUAGUGCUGUAAAGCCUAACCUUAUAAAAUGCUUGUCAUGACAUACAUGUGAUGAUAGCAUGAUUGUAUGCUAAGAGAGUCCCAAAAAAUUUACAAAAGUAGGUAUUGUACCUAGAGGUACAACAAAGAUGAUUUAAGCCUCGAACCAGAUCAAAUAGGAAUUUUAAGGUGAGAUUAAGAGCUUCACAAUCCAUGGAUGACUCAAAAUGGUAAUUCGGAGUUUGAGGAUCAAUUUGGAGUCAAACCAGAAUUUUCACUGCCAGAGACAAAAUGGUCAUUUGCCACCUAGGGACAAAAUGAAAAUUUUUAGAAAAGAUGUUUUUUGCCCCAUUUGACCUAUUGGAGUAUGAUUUGAGCAUAGGAGUAUGAUUUGAGGUUGAAAAGUGAAAAAAAAAAUUGUGAUUUCGGUAUUUUUUGGAGCAAAGGGUAAAAUGGUAAUUUUGCCAUUUCAGGGGCAAAAUUACCAUUUUACACACCCGACACUUGUCCAGCACAUGGAUUUUAUCCAAUUUUAUCAUGGAUAAUUGAAGGGAUUUAUAUGGUGGAGAGAGAAAGCUUAAUAGUUAAGAAAUAAAAAUGGGCCAAUGAAAUGGUGACACAUGGCAUGUUAAUAUCCAUUUACUUUUUUUAGCUUUAAAAUCAACAAAAAUAAGCAUAUUUUCUUCAUUAUGGCCGGCCAAAGCAUGAAGUGAAGAAGAACAAAGAAAGAACAAAACCUAGGUGGGAAAAUUGAAGAAAAAGUGUGGGAUUUCAAGGUAUUAAGCUAAUAAAGGUAAAUUUUUGUGAUUUUAUCUUGUGGUUUACACUACCUAUGCUUUCUUUUUCAUUUUCCAUGCUUAGAACUCAAGUUUUCAUGGUGAAUUCAUGCCUGACCAAAUGGGUAUGGAGAGAGAACGAAGUUGGAUUGAUUUGAUUCUAAGUUAUGUUAGUGUUUUUAGUUAGUUUAGCAUAUUUAGAAACAAAACAACAAGAAAAAAAAUUCAUUUUCUCCCAUUACCCAUAAGAGGCCGAAUUUUCUAGGGAGGAUAUUGAGGCUGAAAUUGAUGAUAUUUCAUGAUAUUUUGGUGAUAUUUAAUGAUUGGUGAGGCUAGAAAUUUAAUAGAAAAUUUUGGCAUGAAAAUCUGAAUUUUGACCUAAUGUAUAGACAUGUGCGAUUUAUCAUUCAGACUGAUAAAUUGAAUCAAAUUGUGAGACCUUGUCAAGCUCGAUUAAAAGACAAUAUUGUACUGAGUGGUACAACUAAGUUAAAUUGAACCUUCAACUAGUUCAAAUAGGAAUUCUAAGAGGAAAUUGAAAAUUUUGAAACCCACAGAAUAGCUUAGAAUAGUGAUUCGGAGUUCAAGGUUCAGUUUCGAGUCCAUCAGGAAAAUUGAUCGAUUAGGGACAAAACGGUUAUUUUAGCAUUUGAUAAUAAAAUGGAGAUUUUUAGCCAAGAUUUUAUCACAUUUGACCAAGAAUAAUUAUAUGAAAUAUAAUUAUGAUUAUUGGAGUAUAAAAUGAUGUUUAGUAGUGAAAAAUUAUGAUUCUCGGUAUUUUUGGAGCACAAGGGUAAAAUGGUAAUUUUGUCACUAAAGGACUAAACGAUAAUUUUUAUAAAAUGAUUUUUGCCCCAUUUAGUUAAUAUUGAUCAAUAUUAGUGUUAUUUGAGGUUGAAAAGUAGAAAUAAUGUGAUUCCGGUACAUUUCGAAGUAUAGGGGCAAAAUCGUAAUUUUUUCAUCUCGGGGGCAAAUCGGUAAAUUUUUCGUCCCAACACUUGUCAAGACCAAGGGAUUUUAAUUGUGGUAGGAUUGGAUAAAUACCAGAAUAUUUGUGGUGGAAAAUUAAGAAGAAAAAGUUAAAAAGUUAAAAAAAUUGGGCCAAUAAGCAUGUGACACGUGGCAUGCUUAAUUAUUUUAUUAUUUUCUAUAGAAAUCAGCCCAUUAAAUCCCCAAUUCUCUCACCAUAAUCAGCCUAGGCAACCAGCAACAAGAGCAAAGGAAGAACAAAGGGAAAAACAAGAAAACCUAGGUGAAAAUUCAAAGAAAAAGUGAAGAAAUCAAGGAAACAAGCUAGGUAAGUUAGAAUUUCUUUAAUUCUCCUUGAUACCUAGCUUAUCCAUGCUUUUGUUCUUGAUUUCGAUGGUUGAAUAUUGAGUUAUCAUGAUGAAUUCAAUUCUGAAAAAUGGUUAUGGAAGAGGAAUUGUUGUUGGAAUAAUUUGAUUUUAGACUAAGUUAGUGUUUAGGGAUAGUUAAGCAUGGUUAUGAACAAAAACACAAAAGAAAUAUUCAAUUUCUCUAGGGUUCCUUGUUGGUCGAACCAUGAGGGCUGAAUAUCAAUGGGGGAUUGUUUUUAUUUCAAGGAAAAUGGCUUGGAAAAUGAUGAAUUAAGGUGAAACAGUUAUGUAGAAAAAAUUUUGGUGCUAGUUCACCAAAUGACCGAAUUUUUUUAUAAGGAACUGUGAGGGUUCUAAUGCUGAAUUUGGCUUUAUUUAAAUGGUAUGUGGUAAAUGAAGGUAUUAGAGGAGAAAUGGAUUAAUUUGGAGGUGAUUUGGACACAAUCUCCAAUUAAUCGAUGAUUGGUCAAAUUUAAUCGAUACCGCGAUUAAGCGGUAAUCGAACGUAUUUUUGCAUUUACAUAUCAAGCAUUAGUAAUUUAAAUUAGUUUAUAUCAAUUUAGGGACAAUAUAGUAAAUUCCUUGACUUUGUUAUUUGUCAAGGUAGUGAGAUGUCUAAAAAAGGCAAAGGAAUUGCGCUUGAGGACUAUUAGUUUGAGUGCACCCAAAAUCCGGAUUUUCGAUAUGGGUGAUUGGACUUGCAUUUCAAACUUGUUGUGGGGAAUAUGAAAGAUUCUAUCCAACUUGUCUUAGAAAAUGUACCUUGGGAACAAGCUUUUGUUAAAUGGUUUGAUGUUGUGAUAUGUGAUUACUAUGGAUUCAUGCAUUAUUGCAAUAUGAUGAUAUAUAUAUGUGUGUGUUGUGCAUGAUAAAUGUUAUUGUGUAUAAUGACUAUAACCGUGUGUGUGGACGAUGUGGGAAGAAUUAAGUUGGUUUUACCUGAUCUUUGGGAACUCUAACAUGUGAACAGGGGUGAAGCGUGGCUCUCUGCCCAGGGGCUUAUAAAGGAAAAGGCUACCCAAAGAGGUGGAGCUGCCCUAUGAGUGCUUUGAUAGGUACUGUUUGUCGCCUCCAUAGUGAAGGGGUUGAGUGGUAUGUCCCUCCCUAGUGACAAACUUGGUAUCAGAUUCCCAUUUUAUGGUGGUGUGAAAGGUGGAUGAUGAUAGUGCCCGUGUGCACGAUGUGGGGGGAUGUACACGGUGGCACUGAUUGUGCACGAUGCAGGGGGAAGGACACGAUGUGCCGGCUAUGUGCACGAUGUGGGUGUGAUUAUGAUGAUAUUGAUGUUUGUCUAUCUAAUUAUGCAUAUCUAGACUUAUGAAAUGAAAGCUCAUAAAUGUGAUAUAUGGUUGACAUAUAUAUGAAAUUUGAUACUUUGCACUUUGGGAAUUUUCAUGAGUUUUUUGUUGAUUUUGUUGGUUUAGUAGGGUGGCCUUUUUGUUGAGUGAAGGGAAACUUUUCCCUUGUUGCUCUGUUUCGCUGCAGCGAGAAACUCUCGAGUCUGAGGGCCUUCACCAGAACUGGUUCUCGCUACAGCGAAAAACUUUCUAUCCAUUUUGCUAACUUGUGGGUUUUUGCCAUAUUUCCCAUUUCUUUGGUACCAUAGUUGAGCAUGGAUUUUUGUAAAGUGAUUUACUCAUGUGGGGUUUACAUGAGGGGUUUAAAGGAGCUAAAACAAUUGCAUGGUUUUGAGAAAAUGAAUGCAUCAUGAUUUCGAUAAACAUUCCUUAUGGUAUGCUUGUUCCCUUCUUGUUCACUCACUGAGUAUUGUACUCACGUUUUAUAAAAAAUUCAUGUUUUCAGAUCAAGUGACUGUUGGACCCUAGAUCGAGGAGUGCCCGUAGUGUAUCUCCUGGGUAUGUGUCUGGCAUUCGAUAGUAAUCCCUUUUAUUGUAAAUGUCUCCGCUGGAAGUCAUGGGUCCUUUUGUAUUGUGAAUACAAUCUAAUAAUGUGAAUAUGUGUAUUCAAUGUAAAUUGCUAAAUACAUGACUGGUAUAGUGCAUGUAUGUUAUUAUCGAUAAUGCCAUUGUGUUUUGGCUAUGUUCACACUUGGGAAAAGGUGUGUGUGUAUGCAUGAUAUGAUAAAUUUGUUAAGCAAAGGUAAAUGGAUAGGCUUGCUUGGGCUUAGUGAGCUAUGCUCAUUGAGCUCAUGCGUCGGUCAUGGCCCGAAAAAAUUGGGUCGUGACACAUAUUCAUAGUCAUUGAGGUGUUUUAAGUAUAAUUGGAGUGUAGAAAGUGAAAGAAAUCGAUUUGGAGUUAAAUUGGAGGUUUUAGCCAAUUAGACCGAGAAUAGUGCGAAUUAGGUCGAAUACCGUAUUUAAAUGGCUAUUCGGACAUUUUUGCAUUCCAUAUCAUCCAUUAGUAGUCUAAAUUAGUUUAAUUUCGAUUUAGUACCAAUGUAGUAACUUUCUUGAUUUUGUACUAUGUCUAGGUGGUGAAUCCUUCGAUAAAAGCAAGGAAAUUGUACCCGAGGAUCAGUAGUCAGAGUACUCUAGAAACUUGACUCCCGAAAUAGUGAGUAACCUUACUAUCAUUUUAAUUAUCUAAAGUAUGUUUUUAUAAGGUUUUGGUGAAUUUUAUGAAAAUGAGUUCAAAUGGUAAGUUUUUAUGUUUUGUAAACAAAAUGUGUUUAAAUGAAAAGAUUUUAUAAAUUGUCUUGAAACGAAAUAAUGCUUUUAAAAAUAGAGUAAUUGGAGACCACUGGUAUGUUGUAAAUUUAUGAUUGAAAAUUGAUGGCUUAUGUUAUAUUGUUAUUGUGUUGGCAUGACUGGCUAGGCUGUAUUUUAUGAGUUGUAUGAAUUGUUUUAUGUUACCCUUGCAGGCUGGGUAGUAUUAUAUUAGCCCUGUCAUGCUGUUAAAAUUUUAUUAUAUGGUGGGUUUAGCUUGCUGCAGUAGGCAGAUUCUGUGGACCAGCCUAUUAGAGGGGCA